Molecule: long non-coding RNA, 604 nt
Organism: Olea europaea var. sylvestris
Lineage: Eukaryota; Viridiplantae; Streptophyta; Magnoliopsida; Lamiales; Oleaceae
Exons: 2
Source: RefSeq, a predicted model, not a curated record
AAUCGUCUCCAACGUGGUGACCUCUCUCUUGAAGCUUACGAAAAUGUUUCAAUCUGGCAUGUGCCUAUUUUGGCAAUGACUGCUGAUGUGAUUCAGGCUACAAAUGAAGAGUGUCUGAAGUGCGGAAUGGAUGGAUAUGUCUCCAAACCAUUCGAGGCCGAGCAGGUAUAUACGGAAGUUUCCCGCUUUUUUCAUGCAGAGUCGAACGAAGAUUAUUGGGAAGAGUCUUCUGAUUGAUGCUCACGAUGAUGCAAGCUGAAGGCGCACCUUAGAGUGUUCAAAUUUGUAGUAAAAUUUUCUACGACUGCUUCAAUUGAACCACGAAUCGUCAAAUAUUCUUGGUGGGAUGUCGUCGAAUGUAGCUAAAUCUGACGCAGUCGGAGAGCAAAUUUGCAAAUAUUGUGAAAAAUCGCAUUCUUUAUCAACAAAGUAGCGCACGAUUUAGGAUGAUGGACAGUAAUAGAGUCGACUAUAGCAGGUAGAAACUGGGACGAGGCCAAUGUACUUAUUUGUAUGGAUUGAUUUGUAGCGUGCAAAAUGUUUGUUCGUUAUAGAACGUAAAGGAGCAAUCUUAAAGAACAGGCUCUUUUUUCAUUUUUUUUUU